This 1569-nucleotide ribosomal RNA is filed under the name Triticum aestivum (bread wheat). RNAcentral's name for it is "partial small subunit ribosomal RNA". The record is from RNAcentral. Lineage: Eukaryota; Viridiplantae; Streptophyta; Magnoliopsida; Poales; Poaceae.
AUGGAGGCGGAGGCCGAGGCGCUCCUGCCGCGGCCGGAGCCGCCGCUGUCCGCCGUGGACCACUUCGGCCGGCCCGCCUCCCGCGGCAGCUCCGGCGGGUGGCCUGCCGCGCUCUUCAUCAUCGGGGUGGAGGUCGCGGAGCGGUUCGCCUUCUGCGGCAUCAUGGGCAACCUGAUGAUCUACCUCACCGGCCCGCUCGGCCAGUCCACGGCGGCCGCCGCGUCGGCCGUCAACGCGUGGCUCGCCGCCGCCAUGCUGCUGCCGCUGCUCGGCUCCGCCGUCGCCGACUCCUGGCUUGGCCGCUACCGCACCGUCAUCUGCGCGUCCCUCCUCUACAUCCUGGGGCUAGCCAUGCUCACCCUGUCAACGGUGCUCGCACCGGGAGAGCGACCAGGGUGCGCCGGCAAGCCGGCCGAUUCAGCCGGGUGCUCCACGAGCUCGUCGGCGCAGGUGGCUCUCUUCUUCUUCUCCCUCUACCUGGUGGCGUUUGCCCAGGGCGGACACAAGCCCUGCGUCCAGGCGUUCGGCGCCGACCAGUUCGACGAGAACGACCCCGGCGAGCUGGCGUCCAGGAGCACCUUCUUCAACUGGUGGUACUUCGCCUCCUACGGCGGCAACACCAUCACCGUCUCCGUCCUCAACUACGUGCAGGAGAGCGUAAGCUGGCAGCUCGGCUUCGCGAUCCCCUGCGCCGCCAUGGCCCUCGCCCUCGCCGUCUUCUGCCUCGGGACCAAGACCUACCGCUUCCAUCCAUUACGAAGUGCUAACAAAUUGCCCGAUGAUGAUUCUGAGAAUUUGCUGGAGCCGCCGAGGAGGGAUCAUGGAGCCACCGCCACCGGAUUGCUGAAGCUGUUCCCCAUAUGGGCAUCCUGCCUGAUCUACGCCGUUGUCCUCUCGCAGUGGUUCACUCUCUUCACCAAGCAGGCAAGCACACUGGACAGGAGGAUAGGCACCCUGGUGGUACCAGCUGCCUCGCUGCAGAACCUGGUAAACGCAUCGCUCAUGAUCUUCCUGCCGGUCUACGAGCGGGUCGUCGUUCCGCUUGCCAGGAAGCACACCAAGAACCCUUCCGGCAUCACGGCGCUGCAAAGGAUCGGCGUCGGGUUGGCGAUUUCGGUCGUGAUGAUGGUCGUUGCUGCUCUUGUGGAGACGAGGAGGCUCCGGGUGGCAAGGAACUACGGCCUGCUUGACAAACCUGAGGUCACCAUCCCCAUGAGCGUGCUGUGGAUGGUUCCGCAGUACCUGCUGAUCGGUCUGUCCGACGCGUUCGCCAUCGUCGGUUUGCAGGAGUUCUUCUACGACCAGGUGCCGGACGGUCUGCGCAGCUUGGGCCUGGCUCUGUUCCUCAGCAUAGCCGGAGCCGGGAACUUCAUCAGCAGCUUCGUCGUGUAUGCCAUUGACAGGGUGACCACUAGCGCCGGGGGGAGCUGGUUCUCCAACAACCUGAACCGAGGGCGCCUCGAUUAUUUUUACUGGUUUCUCACCGUGCUCAGUGCUCUAGGCAUGUUUGCUUACAUGUACUUUGCGCGGGUUUAUGUGCCUAAGAAAAAGGGUGUUUCAGUGCAGUGA